This 1227-nucleotide long non-coding RNA is filed under the name Sarcophilus harrisii (Tasmanian devil). Its description in RNAcentral is "lncRNA (ENSSHAG00000027274.1)". The record is from RNAcentral. Lineage: Eukaryota; Metazoa; Chordata; Mammalia; Dasyuromorphia; Dasyuridae.
GGGACUGGGUGCUGGUUGAGCACAGAGCCAGCCUUGUUCCUGCGGGGCAGAGCCUCUUCUCCCCGUCCCGGAUCUCGGAUCGCUCCUAGUUUGCUGGAACCAUCUGGAUCCCGUGGCCAGAUACAGAUCAAGAAGACUGGAGAAGGCCCCAGUGCCCCGGGACACCUUGUCCUGGCGCCCAGUGACCAACCGUCACUUAGCGGAGCAAGUUUCAGAGAAACUUCAGAAUACUUUGAUGGAUUAGUGCACAUGGGGAGAGUGAUUGGUGCAGUGUGGUCACUGCAUCAGAAUUGAUGGAGCAGAGCCGCGGUUUCAGAGGCCACGGCAGUUCUCCUACCCCCUGACAAGGAUGGCUGGGGGAGUGUGGGCCUGGCCAGCGCGGGGCCAUAUGUCAUUGUUAGCCCUUGGUUUUCCAGAAGGACCAAUGACAUGCGGGUCGGGUCUUGACUUGCUCAUAAAUUACAUUUAUCGUAAAUUAAAGUCUUAACUUACGAUAAAUUUAAUGUACGAGUCUCACUUUCUCUUCCUGCGUCAUCAAAGUGCAGCAGCUGAACCGAAGUCAGGACAACUGGCCAGGGCCCAGAAUUCAGUGCACGUUUAGUGUCUUAAGCUCUAAGUGCCCCUUGGCGCCAGCUUCAGCCGCCUUUGUGGCCAUUGCAACAAAUGGUCUUCACCUACCAGUCCACAUGCUUGAGGGGACACGCCCCUAGGUCCCUGUCGGGUUGGGGACGCUCACCCUCUGCUGAAAACGUUUUCUGGGGCAUGGUACUGGGACUGCCCACGCUGCAGCUUCUGGAAGCCACAGGUCAGACCAAGGAUGGGCCUGAGAAGUCGUCUGCUCCCACAGAAGGAAACUGGGCCCACGGAGCUUGUGACCUGGCAGCAGAACCAGAGCUGACCCCCUUUUCUGCCCCGAACGGCCCUUCCCUGGGGAACCCGAGAACAUCUCGGAACCAGGUUGGCGCCUCGGACACCAAAUCUCCCCUGGGUCUCAAAGGCCCUUUCUGGACUGGCAUCCUUGCCAGCCUCCGGUCGCUGAGAACAAUUCCUGAGGCCAGUGACCAGCCAGUGCCUGGAUGAAUGACCCUCCCUAGGGCAGAGAUCAUGGGGUCACACCUUAGAGGAGGGUGGUCUUAACCUGGGACCCUGAAGUUGGGUUUUGAAAUACAUUAACGCUGUGUUAUGGUGUGAUAUUAUAAACGUAUUUUAUUUCAUUUACAAAAACCG